GAUAGUAUUGAUUUUACAUUGAUUUUAAUUUAUUGUAUUUUUCUUUCACAUGCCAUUGAAAGUUAUAAAAUAACUUUCAAUAAUAAACUUGAUUUAAAAUAAAUAUGUUUUAUUUAAACAUUAAACAUGUAAAUAAACUUGUAACAAAUUACUCUAAUUAAAGUCUAGAAAUCUCUAGAGCCCUAAACUUUAAACUUAACUUUUAACCUUGAAUAAAUACAUAAGUAAAAAUAGCCAUUGGUCAAUAAUUUCCCGCCAAAACCUUUGACCCCCUUUGUCCAGUGUGUCCAGCUAAUUACUAGCCCAGGAGCAGUCAAAGUGUAUAGUUGUGUUUUUGUAUUUUUGGAGAAAUCUUUAAGACCACUGACAAUAUUGAUAAUCCAUAAGCCAUACACACAAUCAUGCAAUAUACAGUAUUAGAGAGGGAUUCAUACCCAUAGUCUGAAUCUGCUUUAUGAUGAUGCAUUUGGUAUUUAUGCAACUGUAAUAAACAUCAUCACAGUGAAACAUCUUGUUUUCAAUUGCUGCUCCCGCU
This is a long non-coding RNA of Saccostrea cuccullata (small rock oyster), 535 nucleotides long. RefSeq lists it as uncharacterized. NCBI's taxonomy places the organism in Eukaryota, Metazoa, Mollusca, Bivalvia, Ostreida, Ostreidae. The transcript is spliced from 3 exons. The record is from RefSeq and is a predicted model, not a curated record.